Non-coding RNA from Pichia kudriavzevii, 73 nucleotides. The record is from Rfam. Lineage: Eukaryota; Fungi; Ascomycota; Pichiomycetes; Pichiales; Pichiaceae.
AGUUGUUUGGUCUAGUGGUUACGACGUCCCCUUUACACGGGGAAGGUCGCGAGUUCGAACCUCGCAUCAACUA